AGAGUUUGAUCAUGGCUCAGAUUGAACGCUGGCGGAAUGCUUUACACAUGCAAGUCGAGCGGCAGCGCGGGGGCAACCCUGGCGGCGAGCGGCGAACGGGUGAGUAAUGCAUCGGAACGUACCCAGACGUGGGGGAUAACUUACCGAAAGGUAAGCUAAUACCGCAUGUGACCUGAGGGGGAAAGCGGGGGACUCGCAAG
This 200-nucleotide ribosomal RNA is filed under the name uncultured bacterium. Its description in RNAcentral is "partial 16S ribosomal RNA". It matches the Rfam family "Bacterial small subunit ribosomal RNA", at positions 8 to 219 of the family's 1533-position model. The record is from RNAcentral.